GUCCACGCCGUAAACGGUGGAUGCUGGAUGUGGGGCCCGUUCCACGGGUUCCGUGUCGGAGCUAACGCGUUAAGCAUCCCGCCUGGGGAGUACGGCCGCAAGGCUAAAACUCAAAGAAAUUGACGGGGCCGCACAAGCGGCGGAGCAUGCGGAUUAAUUCGAUGCAACGCGAAGAACCUUACCUGGGCUUGACAUGUUCCCGACAGCCGUAGAGAUGCGGCCUCCCUUCGGGGCGGGUUCACAGGUGGUGCAUGGUCGUCGU
RNAcentral lists this ribosomal RNA (262 nucleotides) under uncultured bacterium. Its description in RNAcentral is "partial 16S ribosomal RNA". It matches the Rfam family "Bacterial small subunit ribosomal RNA", at positions 793 to 1055 of the family's 1533-position model. The record is from RNAcentral.